Molecule: transfer RNA, 77 nt
Filed under: Alosa alosa (allis shad)
Lineage: Eukaryota; Metazoa; Chordata; Actinopteri; Clupeiformes; Clupeidae
Description: tRNA-Ser
Source: RNAcentral
ACCUCAGCCCUGGCGCAACUGGCCAGGGUACCUGCACCGAACGCCGGCGACCCGGGUUCGAUUCCCGGCCUGUGGUC